AUACGGAACGUAUGCGAUGAUGAUAAUAGUAAUGUUGGCGAUGAUAAUCAUCAUCAUCGUCAUCAGCAUCAUCAUUCUCAUCAUCAUCAUCAUCA
RNAcentral lists this microRNA precursor (95 nucleotides) under Bigelowiella natans CCMP2755. RNAcentral describes it as "miRNA EPrBNAG00000013502". Lineage: Eukaryota; Cercozoa; Chlorarachniophyceae. The record is from RNAcentral.